GCAUAUCAAUAAGCGGAGGAAAAGAAACCCAACAGGGAUUACCUCAGUAACGGCGAAGUGAAGCGGUAACAGCUCAAAUUUGAAAGCUAGCUCUUUUAGGGUUCGCAUUGUAAUUUGUAGAAGAUGCUUCGAGUGUGGCCCCGGUCUAAGUUCCUUGGAACAGGACGUCAUAGAGGGUGAGAAUCCCGUAUGUGACUGGGUGCUUUCGCUCAUGUGAAGCUCUUUCGACGAGUCGAGUUGUUUGGGAAUGCAGCUCAAAAUGGGUGGUAAAUUUCAUCUAAAGCUAAAUAUUGGCCAGAGACCGAUAGCGCACAAGUAGAGUGAUCGAAAGAUGAAAAGCACUUUGGAAAGAGAGUUAAACAGUACGUGAAAUUGUUGAAAGGGAAGCGCUUGCAACCAGACUUGCGCGCUGAUGAUCAUCCGGGCUUCUGCCCGGUGCACUCGUCUGCGCUCAGGCCAGCAUCGGUUUCGGUGGUGGGAUAAAGGCCUUGGGAAUGUGGCUCCUCUCGGGGAGUGUUAUAGCCCUCGGUGCAAUGCCGCCUACCGGGACCGAGGACCGCGCUUCGGCUAGGAUGCUGGCGUAAUGGUUGUAAGCGACCCGUCUUGAAACACGGACCAAGGAGUCUAACAUCUAUGCGAGUGUUUGGGUGUCAAACCCAUACGCGUAAUGAAAGUGAACGGAGGUGAGAACCCUUAAGGGUGCAUCAUCGACCGAUCCUGAUGUCUUCGGAUGGAUUUGAGUAAGAGCAUAGCUGUUGGGACCCGAAAGAUGGUGAACUAUGCGUGAAUAGGGUGAAGCCAGAGGAAACUCUGGUGGAGGCUCGCAGCGGUUCUGACGUGCAAAUCGAUCGUCAAAUUUGCGUAUAGGGGCGAAAGACUAAUCGAACCAUCUAGUAGCUGGUUCCUGCCGA
This 911-nucleotide ribosomal RNA is filed under the name Cadophora malorum. Its description in RNAcentral is "LSU rRNA". It matches the Rfam family "Eukaryotic large subunit ribosomal RNA", at positions 38 to 964 of the family's 3401-position model. The record is from RNAcentral. Lineage: Eukaryota; Fungi; Ascomycota; Leotiomycetes; Helotiales; Ploettnerulaceae.